Molecule: small RNA, 73 nt
Filed under: Xanthomonas floridensis
Lineage: Bacteria; Pseudomonadati; Pseudomonadota; Gammaproteobacteria; Lysobacterales; Lysobacteraceae
Description: sX9 sRNA
Rfam family: Xanthomonas sRNA sX9
Source: RNAcentral
CUGCACUCGCGCACUCCGGUUCUGAGUGUGCCCGCCACGGCACCCGACGACUGCUCGCCCCGUUCUGUUGGCC